UAUUUCCAACCUAUGAUUUGUGGUUUCUGUUCUCUAUAUUCUUUUUAAUAAAUUUACAUAUUAUUACACCUUGACCGUCUGAAUUGGAUUAAAUUUUGCAUCAGUUUAUGGAGGCACCGCUGGGAUACUGAUCGAUCCUUGAAGUAUAUUUGAUGCAUCGCAAGGCAAGAUAAAGAGAGGUGAGUUGCUCAUCUAAUUCUCUUUAUGGGCUUCUGUUGUGCAAACCUGCCGAGUCUAAGAGCUAUAUCUGCGGACCCAUUUCAUUCAUUUUUCUUGACUGCAGCAAGAGAACGAAUUUGGGGCGGUAUGGUGGUUUAACCGUGUGUGAGGAAUGAGCGCGCGCUCUGUGUUUGAGAACGGCGAUUUGCGGCAUUAAAUGUGUUGUUCACUGAAGGGGUUUACCGACAGUCUGGAUAAUUAUGCGUAGCAAGUACACUUUGCGGGGUUUACCGGAGGUUUAUUGCGGGCGCUUUCAGGGCUUACUGAUGCGCAACAGUUUUUGAGACACGCGCUGUCAGGGAUUACUGCAGCGUGCUGGUCAGAUCUGUAUGUCGAUUCUCUGUUUUGAUAUAGGCUCUGGGAUGGACUCGGCAGUCUUGACACUGGCAAUCCAUAUAUUUUGACAAUUGUUUGACUGUGGCAGAAUACCACAUUGUAACUAAGUUUAACUCUGUAUAAUUGUUAUAAUUGUCAGGAGGCUAAUUAAGUUAAACGAAUUAAGAGUAAAGAGAACACCACCAAAUUUAACAAUUUAAUUAAGUGAAUUUAAUUGAGUAUAUUCAAUUGAGUGUAUCUGAAUUGAAUAAAACUUUUUCUUUGUUGGGGGUGUCAACACACGAAGUAAUGGCUCAUAUGUAUGUAAAAGGAGCUCUUAACGAAGCUCUUACUGCUCAAGUAGCGAUGUUAGGCAUCGGAAAUAAAGAAAAUAUUAAACAGAAAAUGGUAAAGAUGAAUUUAAAGAAAUAUGGGGUCCGUAGGCAGUGUGAAUGGGGGUGAUGAAGGAAGAUAAUAAGAUAAUGAUCCUAAGAAACAAAAGAAAUAUGCACAAGUUUUGUGUUGUUUGAGGAUUGUGCGAGCAAAAGGUCUUUUAACAUAUCGCAAUUGAAGAAUAGUUUAUGUGGAUAAACUGGCACAAGCGGCUAGAGAUACUACGCAAGAUAUGUGGGAUUUAUUAGACAUUGUAACUAAGGAGCCAAGAGCAGAUACAGGGAGAGUCCCUAAAAUCGAUGAUAUUUUUAGCUGGCAGGAAUAUGCUUCAAAACUGAAAGCAGCGAUUGCCAAGGCAGGGAGACAUGUGACGAAUGUUUCUGAAGAUGGUGGUAUACAGGUUGCAGCUAUUUCUCCUGGGCACUUGGAGGAAACUGAGAAUGAGUGGGGCGAGUAUGUGAAACUGCGUCCAAAAUUACCCCGCUAUAGUGAAAUAGAUCAGGAAUUGACGGCGGCUGGUCAAGUGGGGGUUUAUCGAUCUAUGGGUGUGCGAGAUUUGACUAGUAUUGUAAAUAUACUGCCACUCAUGAAAUCUAACAGUACCAAUUCUGAAUUUUGGGAUCGUUUGUGGGUAAUGGCAAGAGCCAACCGCCUAGCAGUAAAAGAUAAAAGAUCUGUAUUCAAUUUGUGAGCAGGUCUGCCCGUCUACAUACACGGGACAGAUCGGUAAUCUCACCCCUCCUUUACAGCCAGCAGCGAAUGUAGAUGAUUACGCAACUCAGUACAGAGUGCUGCGUACUGAAGUACAGCGUGCAGUUGUAAAUGGAAUUCAAACUUUCACUAAUGUGACAAUGAUAAGGCAGGAUCCUAAUGAACCAUUUGUUGAUUACACUGAGCGAUUCACAAAGGCACUGAAAGAAUUUGUGGCAGCACGAUGGGGGCCUGACUUAGAUUCUCCAAUCAUGCUCCACACUGCGCAGUUAAAUAUGAAUGCUAAAUUUACACAGUUGUUUCAUUCUUCUCUGUCAACAAUUAUUGACUGGUCUUCUCUUGUUCCAUGGGUGACACGGGCUCAAGACAUCGUGGAACAACAAAAGAAGGUACUGGUUGCUGCAGUUGGUCAGACCUCUGCUCCAGCAUUUCGUUGUUAUCAUUGCCAGGGCAGCGCGAUGGUCACUACGCAAACAGGUGCCCUGAUCGAAAUUUAGAACGAAAUUUCAGAAAGCCUAGUUCCUCUUUUCAACAACAGCGGACACCAAAACCACUUCCUCGAGAUUGUGCUUAAAAUAACCCUGGUGCAAAGAAGCAGGGUGCUGACCUAGAAGCAGGUUGAAAAACUGACAAGAGCUUUUGAGAAUACAGACUGACAGAUAGUGGCCUCCAUUUUAUAUGAACACGAAGACCCUCGUCCAUUUUUACAGUCUAACCUAGGAAGCCAGGAUAGCUACAUUCUUGUGGGCCCCCGGGUCUGCAUCUCAGUAACUGUUAUUAAUUUGCCUUUAACAAACAAAUGCAUCUUCAAGGUAUAUCUGGUCGCAGUCUUUUCACACAGUCUCUAUUGAUUCCUCUAAUAAUAUAUCCAUUUGAACAGCCUUUUUGUGUGCAAUUCUGGGUUGGACAAAGCCAAGUUGGCAUUGUAAUGGGAAUGGAUAUACUGAGUAAAUUGGAAGCAGAUGUUUUGCUGACUAGGGGUCAAUUAAUUAGUCAGUAUUUACCAAUUCCCAUACCAGUGUUCAAUAAAACUGGAACUCCUGAAUUAAGCCUUGGAGCUAUCACAGCUAAUGAAAAGGAGUCUACUGAUUCCUCAAUGAUACAAUAUUUUUCUGAGAAAUUUCCAAAUUUGUGGUCGACUUCUAAACUUGAUGUUGGUCUUUGUAGGAUUGAACUUUGAAUGUUUCAGAUCCUAUACAUCCUCCAGUAUUCCAGUAUCCUCUUUGGAGAAGCAGAGUGAGCUGCACACAAAAUUCUGAACCAGCUUCAGGAAUCAGGGAUUUUGGUAAGGUGUACUUCCUCAAUGACUUUACCUAUGCAGCCUGUGAAAAAAUAAAUAAAAAAAAUUGCCAGAUGGUAGCUGUAGAUUAACUAUAGACUACACCACAUUGAAUGCUGUGACUCCUAAAAUAACUGCUAUUGUUGCUAAUCCGUCAACCAUUCUUAAUGACAUUUCUCCAAACCAUCGCUAUUUUAGUGCAGUAGACAUAACCAAUGGUUUUUGGUCUUGUCCUUUCAGAGAAGAAAUACAAUACAGAUUUGCGUUUCAAUAUUGUGACGACAUUCUUCUCGCAUCUCAAGACAAAGCACAACACUUGAGUGGACUCACUCAGUUGUUGAAAAUACUCCAAGAGGCGGGUUUCCUCUUGAACAAACAAAAGGUCCAAUUGUUUCAAUCGGAAGUUACAUUUUUAGGUCAAAGUAUAGGUCGUGAGGGAAAGAGACCUCUUCCAGACGGGUCAUAGCCAUCACUCAAUUAAAUAAGCCAACCACAGUUACUGGUUUAAGAUCAUUAAUGGGGCUAUUUAAUUUUAAUCGGAUGUAUAUCCCAGAUUUUUACGAUUUGGCUAAACCUCUAACAGAGGCUCUUAAAGGAGGCCUUCCGGGUGCUUCCCCUUUGGAGUGGACAGCAGACAUGGCUGAGUCCUUUACUCUCCUCAAAUCCACAUUAGCCUCCUCUCCCGCAUUAUAUCACCCCGACAUGACAAAGACAUUCCAUGUAUGGACACAUGCUGGCCCAAGUGCUUAUAACUGUGUGCUGGGACAAUGUAAGGUGACAAAAGUUAUGGCAUUGUUGGGUACUAUUCAACUUUGAUUCCCUCUUCCAUGAAUGGACAGAUGAAUGGAUAGAUGCCGUGUUUGAUGGCCUUGGACUGUGCUGAGUGGGCGUUGAAGGUCACUCAGAUGAUCCUUCACUCUCCACAUCGUUUUCUACGCCUGCUCUCAGAGACAAAAAUAAAGUCGAUUUCAAAUCAACGACGUGCAAAAUGGGAAACUGCUCUCAUGAACCCUCAGCUCACUGUUGUUGCAGACAACCGGACAAAUCCUGCAUCCCUAAUGGAGGAUGAGGGGAGUGCACAUGACUGCGCCGAGGUAAUUAUCUGUGACGGGACAUUUUGUCAGAGAUGAACUGUUUUCAGAAUCUCUGGCCAUGUUCGUGGAUGGCAGCAGUUUCUACUCUACGAGGGUGACACGUGCUAUGCGGGCUGGGCGGUAGUAGAGGGGAAGACGGGCGAGGUCUUGGCUGAGGGGUCACUUCGGGGAGGAAGUGCUCAGAUAGCUGAACUGCAUGCUUUAAAAGCUGCCUUAAAUCUGGCUCUUAAACUGACUGCAGGUGAAAAUAGCUCCACUAAUGUAAAUAUUUUUACUCAUAGUGCAUACAGCCACCAUGUAGUGCAGAGUUAUGGCCCUGUUUGGAAACGUCGUGGUUAAUUGACCACAGCGGGUACGCCAAUAAGUCAUCAAACCGUAAUUAAAGAAAUUCUUAACACGUGUGAGAAAAUUCCACCAAACUGUGUCGCGGUAUGUAAAGUCACAGGUCACAGUACAUUCAAUGAUUGGUUGGCGAAAGGAAACUCUCUAGAUGAUAAGGCUGCGAGAGAAGCUGCAAAGGGUGUGGCACUUGAAGAAGUAGCUGUUAUUUUCCCUGUUCAUCCUGACUGCACGGGUUCCAAAACUUUAUCUAAAUUGUACACAACUGAGGAUCGUGAAAUGUGUCAGAAAUUAGGAGCUACCUUAACUGAAGAAGGGGUUUAUGCUCUGAAUGACAAAGUUAUUCCGCCUAGCGGAUAUCAAACUGAACUAAUUGAUUUGUACCACAGCAUUGCACACCAAGGGGUUCAGAGAACACAUGUUAUGCUACAACAAACAUGGUUUUGGUCAGAGAUGUUACAAACUGUGAAGGAUAGACUGUCCAGAUGUAUCCACUGUUUGCAAACCGAAGCCAUAAUUUGGAAAAGGUAAAAUCCCAAUUGGUCACAGUCCUCGCCCGCGAGGACCAAUCACACAUUUACAAUUGGAUUUUAUUUUGUUACCUUCUGAUCAUGGGUACAAAUAUGUAUUAGUCCUCGUUUGUAAAUUUUCCAGAUGCUCUGAAAGGGUAUAUUGGAUUUUCAGUCCCUCUCAUUGCACCAUGGUUCGGGAAUGAUAGAUUUUCAUAAAAUAGGGGUAUCUUUACUGGGAUUGUUAUAAGCAAUGUCUGUAUUUGGUAUCUGUGAGGUGACUGAGGGUCUGACCUAUGUCAGGAAUGCAAAAACAGUGAUUAUUCAUUUAGCCCGGCUUCCAGAGAAUAAUACAUAUAUACGUUUAUUGCAAAGAUUUAUUUUACGAUAUAACAAAUUAACCAAAAUUCAUCAUGGUUGUAUAAGACAUAUAAAAAGGAAAAAUACAAAUAAGUCAAAUUUCUUUCUAAAAAGGUCUUUGGGUUUUAACUGUAC
Long non-coding RNA from Cyprinus carpio (common carp), 5354 nucleotides. RefSeq lists it as uncharacterized. The record is from RefSeq and is a predicted model, not a curated record. The transcript has 2 exons. Lineage: Eukaryota; Metazoa; Chordata; Actinopteri; Cypriniformes; Cyprinidae.